RNAcentral lists this ribosomal RNA (534 nucleotides) under Hypselobarbus kurali. RNAcentral describes it as "partial 16S ribosomal RNA". It matches the Rfam family "Bacterial large subunit ribosomal RNA", at positions 1908 to 2597 of the family's 2925-position model. Lineage: Eukaryota; Metazoa; Chordata; Actinopteri; Cypriniformes; Cyprinidae. The record is from RNAcentral.
UGACUAUAAGUUCAACGGCCGCGGUAUUUUGACCGUGCAAAGGUAGCGCAAUCACUUGUCUUUUAAAUAGAGACCUGUAUGAAUGGCCAAACGAGGGCUUAACUGUCUCCCUUUUCAAGUCAGUGAAAUUGAUCUACCCGUGCAGAAGCGGGUAUAAUAAUACAAGACGAGAAGACCCUAUGGAGCUUAAGGUACAAAACUCAACCACGUCAAGCAACUCAAUGAAAAGAAAAAACUUUGUGAAACAUGAGAUUUUACCUUCGGUUGGGGCGACCACGGAGGAAAAAAAAGCCUCCAAGUGGAAUGGAACAAAUUCCUAAAACCAAGAGAGACAUCUCUAAGCCACAGAACAUCUGACCAAACAUGAUCCGGCCCAAAAAAGCCGAUCAACGAACCAAGUUACCCUAGGGAUAACAGCGCAAUCCCCUCCCAGAGUCCAUAUCGACGAGGGGGUUUACGACCUCGAUGUUGGAUCAGGACAUCCUAAUGGUGCAGCCGCUAUUAAGGGUUCGUUUGUUCAACGAUUAAAGUCCU